RNAcentral lists this ribosomal RNA (499 nucleotides) under uncultured bacterium. RNAcentral's name for it is "partial 16S ribosomal RNA". It matches the Rfam family "Bacterial small subunit ribosomal RNA", at positions 29 to 523 of the family's 1533-position model. The record is from RNAcentral.
AUUGAACGCUGGCGGCAUGCCUAACACAUGCAAGUCGAACGGUAACGCGGGGGCAACCCUGGCGACGAGUGGCGGACGGGUGAGUAAUACGUAGGAAUCUGCCCAUUUGUGGGGGAUAACCCGGCGAAAGCCGGGCUAAUACCGCAUACGCUCUACGGAGGAAAGCAGGGGAUCGUAAGACCUUGCGCUAAUGGAUGAGCCUACGUCGGAUUAGCUAGUUGGUAGGGUAACGGCCUACCAAGGCGACGAUCCGUAGCUGGUCUGGGAGGACGAUCGGCCACACGGAGACUGAGACACGGCCCAGACUCGUAAGGGAGGCAGCAGUGGGGAAUAUUGGACAAUGGGGGCAACCCUGAUCCAGCAAUGCCGCGUGUGCGAAGAAGGCCUGCGGGUUGUAAAGCACUUUCAGAGGGGAAGAAAAAAUCGGAGCUAACACCUCCGAGCUUGACGUUACCCUUAGAAGAAGCACCGGCUAACUCCGUGCCAGCCGCCGCGGUAA